This 529-nucleotide long non-coding RNA is filed under the name Phoenix dactylifera (date palm). RNAcentral describes it as "long non-coding RNA (PDAC_LNC002767)". Lineage: Eukaryota; Viridiplantae; Streptophyta; Magnoliopsida; Arecales; Arecaceae. The record is from RNAcentral.
UUUCUUCUUUUCCUUUUUUUUUUCUUCUUCCGUUCCCGAUUCACCUUCUCUUCUCUCAGCUCUUCCCUUCUUCUUCUCAUAUUCUUCUCAACCCUCCCCCUUUCUUCUCCUUUCUUCUCCACGGAGGGAGGAGGCGAGCUUGGGAGGGGCCAGGCCAUGACCGGCAGUGCCUCCAGCCGAGCCCGCUGCGCCCUCGAUCGCGUUUGCAGCCGACGCUCGCGGCCUACGCGCACGGCCGAGCCGAGGCUGGCGGCUCCCGUGACGUCCGUGGAUGCUCCCCGUGAUGCCGACGAACUCGCAGCCGCACACGGGUAAGCCCCCUCUUUCCUCUCUUCUUUCUUUCUCCUUUUCUUCUUCUUCCUCUUCUUUUCUUUUCUUUUCUUUUGAAUUGAUCUAUCCUCCCGAGUGGAUUGGGAGGAGAAAAUGCAGGAAAGGGAAAUGAGGUGGUUGGGAGGCUUACCUGGUUUCGGGGGUGAACUGUGAUGACCCUCUUCGACGGCUCUCUUCCUCUCCGGAGGCAGUGGAGUUU